This 370-nucleotide ribosomal RNA is filed under the name uncultured organism. RNAcentral describes it as "bacterial SSU rRNA". It matches the Rfam family "Bacterial small subunit ribosomal RNA", at positions 526 to 896 of the family's 1533-position model. The record is from RNAcentral.
CGAAGGGGGCUAGCGUUGCUCGGAAUUACUGGGCGUAAAGCGCACGUAGGCGGAUUGUUAAGUCGGGGGUGAAAUCCUGGAGCUCAACUCCAGAACUGCCUUCGAUACUGGCGAUCUCGAGUCCGGGAGAGGUGAGUGGAACUGCGAGUGUAGAGGUGAAAUUCGUAGAUAUUCGCAAGAACACCAGUGGCGAAGGCGGCUCACUGGCCCGGUACUGACGCUGAGGUGCGAAAGCGUGGGGAGCAAACAGGACUAGAUACCCUGGUAGUCCACGCUGUAAACGAUGGAUGCUAGCCGUUGGCGAGCUUGCUCGUCAGUGGCGCAGCUAACGCUUUAAGCAUCCCGCCUGGGGAGUACGGUCGCAAGAUUA